GUAAAUUUUUUUAAACAAAUUUGUGAAAAAAAUGAGGAAAACUUUCUUUUUGCGCCAAAAUUGGUGUCAAUUUUGGCUUCAAAAUUGCGAUUUCGGCGCAAAUUCCUCAUUUCUGUUGUGUCAUUUAAGAGUAGUAGUUGGAGUUUCGUAAUUUUUUAUUGGCCGCAGAAAAAAACAAAACAAAAAAACAGCAACAUGAGCCGCAAAUGUGUUAAGGAUUGUCCAGGAGGGGAGAAUCUUCACCGCUUUCUUUCCGAAGGAUCCGACAAGGCACUUGAGGGUACUUACCGCUGAUCCAGGAGAGAUUUGGUCCAAUUCGUCCAUUAGCUUCAGGCACUUGAGGGUACUUACCGCUGAUCCAGGAGAGAUUUGGUCCAAUUCGUCCAUUAGCUUCCAGAUAUUACUUACCAUUUUUCCACAAGGUACAACUUCGUUGGAGUUCAUUUUUGUUAUUUUUUUAUAAAUAAACAAAAAAAAUAAAAAAUUGUGAAAAUUUUUCAAUAAA
Molecule: long non-coding RNA, 505 nt
Organism: Lucilia sericata (common green bottle fly)
Lineage: Eukaryota; Metazoa; Arthropoda; Insecta; Diptera; Calliphoridae
Exons: 5
Source: RefSeq, a predicted model, not a curated record